RNAcentral lists this ribosomal RNA (253 nucleotides) under uncultured bacterium. RNAcentral's name for it is "partial 16S ribosomal RNA". It matches the Rfam family "Bacterial small subunit ribosomal RNA", at positions 524 to 776 of the family's 1533-position model. The record is from RNAcentral.
UACGUAGGGUGCAGGCGUUAAUCGGAAUUACUGGGCGUAAAGCGUGCGCAGGCGGUUUCUUAAGUCAGAUGUGAAAGCCCCGGGCUUAACCUGGGAACUGCGUUUGAAACUGGGAGACUUGAGUGUGGCAGAGGGGGGUGGAAUUCCGCGUGUAGCAGUGAAAUGCGUAGAGAUGCGGAGGAACACCGAUGGCGAAGGCAGCCCCCUGGGCUAGCACUGACGCUCAGGCACGAAAGCGUGGGGAGCAAACAGG